RNA transcript from Aethalodelphis obliquidens (Pacific white-sided dolphin), 1884 nucleotides. It is a transcript of the gene named FXYD domain containing ion transport regulator 4, with no coding region annotated. Lineage: Eukaryota; Metazoa; Chordata; Mammalia; Artiodactyla; Delphinidae. The record is from RefSeq and is a predicted model, not a curated record. The transcript is spliced from 5 exons.
UGUCACUCACCCACCCACCCACCAAGGCUGUGAAAACCAGGACAGCAUCUCACAAAGGGGGCCUGAUGUUGAAUGAAUGUGUUUUCAUUUCAACUGUCAACUUAAAGAGAAACACAAAGGAAGUAACGGUACAGGUAGGAAGUAGCUAUUGCAAAAGUUACCCAGGUUAAUGGAACGUUGGGAGCUAACCAUCUGUUGGUGUGAAGAGAACAGCAUUCCCUACUUCUUUAGGAGGCAGAGCAUUAGCCAGGCCCUGUGUAGAAAGCUUUUCAGGAGAGGGUAAAAAGAUACCAACACACCAUCCCAUUUUGAGUGUAAGAAAGAAUAGCAGGAAGCCUGAGAAAUUGCUGGAAGGGCUGGGGGGUGGGGACGGAGGGCGGGGGUGGGGGUGGGGGCAGGCACAAAGACCAGGAAGUAGGAGACAAAAUCCCAGGUCUGUUUGGGGGUGGGGAAGGUGUGAGGAAAGGAACCGGUGACCUCAGGGCCCCUUCAUCCCACCUCCCCAGAGUCCCAACGAAGCUGGCUGUCCUUGCGCCUCUAGGCUGGGGUCCUGGCUGCUGAUUCAUUUUGAGACCAGUGCCAUGAAUUAACAGCCAGUCCCUCUGCUUCUCUCACCCAGGCCUGCCCGUCCUGGAAGCCAAUGACCUGGUUGAUAAAGGCAGUCCCUUCUACUAUGGUAAGAGCUGAUAUCCCUUGCCCCCCACCCCUACCCUUGCCUAUCCUGGACCUCUUUGCUAGGGGUUGGUGAGGGGUGAUGUGGAGCCCAGUGUAGACAGAAAGGGGCUUGAGGGAACAGGGAAGGAGGGGCAGGAUGGGGCUGAGACUGGGGAUUAAAGAACCAGAGUCGUCGUCAUCGUCGUCAUCGACCAGAAGAGUGACAGGCCGACUCAUAACAUGGUCUUUGGGAGAACUUCAUUCCAGCAAGGAGGUAAGGUGCCCACAGGAUGUUUAGGAAGACUUCCGGGGAAAGGGGCUAGAGGCACCUGGCUAAUCUCCUUUCUUCAACUCACUCUCUCUUGCCUUCCCCAGGACCAGCUCCUUGCUGCCUGACAACGCCCCAAGCAGGUUUCCGCUCCCUCUGCCUGGCACUGUCCCCCAACACAGUCCUCAUGUGCUCCAGGUCUCAGCUCAAAUGCCACCUUUCAGAAAAGCCUUCCUGGAUCAUUCUUCAAAGCCCAUUCUUUUUCUGUGCUCUUCUGCUUGUUUUUUCUUCCUAUCACUUGUUCCUAUCACAUAUUAGAUGAUGUACUUACUGGCUUGUCUUUCUUGUUGCCUGGAAUACUGGGAAGGCCUGCAGCUGGGCGGGGUGAUCUGUGCGGCGCUCCUGUGCAUCGCUGGAAUCUUGUUCGCCCUGAGUGGCAAAUGCAAAUGCAAGCAAGAUCAUAAGCACAGGUGAGACAGGGCCCUGUUGUGUGCACCUUGAGCAGAGCAGAGCUAUUUGGCGGUAAAGCCCUACAAUUUGGAGAAAGAGGACAGCCCCCGGGCUGUCCUUGGGCUUGCAGUGGGAUUUGUCAUUCACAGAUCAUCAACCCUGAAGGGCCCCAAAUCAGGGAAAGCUCUGACCCUUCGUAUUGUGUAAAGUGGCACCAGGAAUCUUGGCGGGGGAAAAGGACAGAGGCUUGAGGAUGCUAAUCUGACAUGUUCCUUUCUCAGCUCCUUACCCGAGAAAGCUGUUCCACUCAUCACUCCAGGCUCUGCCAGUACCUGCUGAGCACAGGACCGGCUUCACGGCACUUCCUGCACCAGCUCCCAUACUGUCCCCUCCCCCUUGGGGGACUUUACCCUUCAUGAUGGCCUUUCUCUCUGAGGGUGGGCCCUUAGGCUCCCUUAUGCUCAGGAGGCUGUCCAGAGCUUAUUUCUAAAUUAAACUUUUCUCCUCCCUCC